This 326-nucleotide ribosomal RNA is filed under the name uncultured bacterium. Its description in RNAcentral is "bacterial SSU rRNA". It matches the Rfam family "Bacterial small subunit ribosomal RNA", at positions 29 to 355 of the family's 1533-position model. The record is from RNAcentral.
AUUGAACGCUGGCGGCAUGCUUUACACAUGCAAGUCGAACGGCAGCACGGGGGCAACCCUGGUGGCGAGUGGCGAACGGGUGAGUAACACAUCGGAACGUGUCCAGUUGUGGGGGAUAACCCAUCGAAAGGUGGGCUAAUACCGCAUGAGCUGGCAACAGGAAAGCGGGGGACCCGCAAGGGCCUUGUGCGAUUGGAGCGGCCGAUGUCCGAUUAGCUAGUUGGUGGGGUAAGGCCUACCAAGGCUUCGAUCGGUAGCUGGUCUGAGAGGAUGAUCAGCCACACUGGGACUGAGACACGGCCCAGACUCCUACGGGGGGCAGCAGU